CAGUCGCCGCGGUAAUACGUAGGGUGCAAGCGUUAAUCGGAAUUACUGGGCGUAAAGCGUGCGCAGGCGGUUUGUUAAGACAGAUGUGAAAUCCCCGGGCUCAACCUGGGAACUGCAUUUGUGACUGGCAAGCUAGAGUCUGGCAGAGGGGGGUGGAAUUCCGCGUGUAGCAGUGAAAUGCGUAGAUAUGCGGAGGAACACCGAUGGCGAAGGCAGCCCCCUGGGCCAACACUGACGCUCAUGCACGAAAGCGUGGGGAGCAAACAGGAUUAGAUACCCGGGUAGUCCCUGUCUCUUAUAC
Molecule: ribosomal RNA, 301 nt
Filed under: uncultured bacterium
Lineage: Bacteria
Description: partial 16S ribosomal RNA
Rfam family: Bacterial small subunit ribosomal RNA
Source: RNAcentral